Long non-coding RNA from Saccostrea cuccullata (small rock oyster), 746 nucleotides. RefSeq lists it as uncharacterized. The record is from RefSeq and is a predicted model, not a curated record. The transcript is spliced from 3 exons. Lineage: Eukaryota; Metazoa; Mollusca; Bivalvia; Ostreida; Ostreidae.
UAGACAUGCACGCACAUUUAAUCUGCAGCUACGAAGUACUUUAUCAAUCCUCUGGAACAUUAUUUUCAGCAGAAUUAUCCGAUUUAUAAAUUUUUGUGUGAAUUGUUUACGAGGAAAUUCCGACUGUUACUUUAACAAGCUGAGCACUCUUGACUCUGGUUCGUGGUUCCCAGUGAUAAAUGUAUCGAGUGAUGAAAGAGUCGACGGUGACAUUUUAAAGUUUGAUUGGCGUGGACUAUCGGAAUGAAGAUGACUGCAGGAAUGGUUUGUUUGAUUAUUGGCCUAUCAAACAUUUUCCAGUCAUUUGAUGAUGCCACCACUUGGGAUAGUAAGCUGCAAAUAUAGACUUGUACUCAGCACUUAUUGCCUUUGAGAAGUAAGGGAUCCUUUUGACACUGAAUCUCGGUGUAUGCGGUCUCAUUGGAGUAACCCGUCUGAAGCAUUUAGCAAUGGGAUUGGAACCUGUGAUGUUUGAUGCAGUGAAUAAUCAAAGUACUCAGAAGUACUGAAAGCUGGGCUCAUUUACAGGGUAAUGAACAAAGACUGUGAUGAGAGUUUAAAAACAAAUUCAGACAUUGAGAGGAUAUGUUAUCCACAAAAAUAUCUCUAUGGCAUAUAUAUAGUAUUAAAAAGUUUUAAAAUUAAAUAAAAUUAUUAUAGAAUUUAACAGCAUAAAAUAUUCAUCACAUGUAUCGUUUGAGGCGGUUUCGGGGAUUUAUAUACCAACAGAAGUAAAUAAACACUAA